RNAcentral lists this ribosomal RNA (315 nucleotides) under uncultured bacterium. Its description in RNAcentral is "bacterial SSU rRNA". It matches the Rfam family "Bacterial small subunit ribosomal RNA", at positions 1191 to 1510 of the family's 1533-position model. The record is from RNAcentral.
UAUCAUGCCCUUUAUGUCCUGGCUACACACGUGCUACAAUGGUUGGUACAGAGGCAGCUAUAUAGUGAUAUAAUGCAAAACUCGAAAGCAAUCCCAGUUCGGAUUGUAGGCUGCAACUCGCCUACAUGAAGUCGGAGUGCUAGUAAUCGCGGAUCAGAAUGCCGCGGUGAAUGCGUUCCCGGGUCUUGUACACACCGCCCGUCACACCAUGGAAGUUGGCAAUACCCGAAGCCGAUGGCCUAACCGCAAGGAAGGAGUCGUCGAAGGUAGGGUCAAUGACUGGGGUGAAGUCGUAACAAGGUAGCCGUAUCGGAA